This is a long non-coding RNA of Cicer arietinum (chickpea), 647 nucleotides long. RefSeq lists it as uncharacterized. The record is from RefSeq and is a predicted model, not a curated record. NCBI's taxonomy places the organism in Eukaryota, Viridiplantae, Streptophyta, Magnoliopsida, Fabales, Fabaceae.
UUUUAGUUCGCCUAGGGCUGACCCUGUCCUCUUCAAAUAAUUUACUCUUUCUAACUCUCCUUUUGAUUUUUUAAUAUGAAUUUAUGGUUUGACCAGGUAAAUAUUCUUCACCUAGCUCAAGCAGAACACUCAACGAUUUUCAAGAGAGACGAAGAGGGAAAAGGGAACGGAAACCCAAAGUUCAUUUUGAUGAGGUGUCUUCUCCAAUCAAAUCAGAAAGGAAGGAUCGUCGAUUAAAGGUAAUGCGGUAUCUUGGCCUUGCACCUCCGGUUGGUUCUCCUUUUUGACCAAGAUUACGAGUGAAGAAAUGAAUAUUUCUAAUGUUUCUGGCCUAAUAGCUCUAGUUGGUUCUCCCUUUUUUUCUAACUAUAAUAUAAUAGUAGUCUUGCGUGCAUAAUUCAAAAAUUUGUUUCUACUCCUUGCCAUUCACCUAGUAACACCUUUUUUUUCCAGAUUAUUUAGUCUCAUUGUUUCAUUACUAUAUGUAAAAACCGUACUAUUCAUACGACAAUAUUUGAAGGAAUAUAAUCAGUUAUAUCCAAUAAAUUUUUCUGUUUUUUUUUUGGAAACUUUGUUGCUUCAUGGUGGAGUACAAAGACUAGCUCAAUGUACACGAAAUUUUAAUCUAGAUUGGGUAUUGCUGUGCU